GGGGGAGUAGCUCAGUUGGUUAGAGCGCGCCCCUGAUAAGGGCGAGGUCGGUGGUUCGAAUCCACUCUCCCCCACCA
This 77-nucleotide transfer RNA is filed under the name Thermoproteota archaeon. RNAcentral describes it as "tRNA-Ile". It matches the Rfam family "tRNA". Rfam says of the family: Transfer RNA (tRNA) molecules are approximately 80 nucleotides in length. Their secondary structure includes four short double-helical elements and three loops (D, anti-codon, and T loops). Further hydrogen bonds mediate the characteristic L-shaped molecular structure. tRNAs have two regions of fundamental functional importance: the anti-codon, which is responsible for specific mRNA codon recognition, and the 3' end, to which the tRNAs corresponding amino acid is attached (by aminoacyl-tRNA synthetases). tRNAs cope with the degeneracy of the genetic code in two manners: having more than one tRNA (with a specific anti-codon) for a particular amino acid; and 'wobble' base-pairing, i.e. permitting non-standard base-pairing at the 3rd anti-codon position. Lineage: Archaea; Thermoproteati; Thermoproteota. The record is from RNAcentral.